Molecule: transfer RNA, 79 nt
Filed under: Minisyncoccota bacterium
Lineage: Bacteria; Bacillati; Minisyncoccota
Description: tRNA-Pro
Rfam family: tRNA
About the family: Transfer RNA (tRNA) molecules are approximately 80 nucleotides in length. Their secondary structure includes four short double-helical elements and three loops (D, anti-codon, and T loops).
Source: RNAcentral
CGGCGUGUAGCUCAGUCUGGUAGAGCGCUCGCUUUGGGAGCGAGAGGUUUCGGAGGUUCAAAUCCUUUCACGCCGACCA